RNAcentral lists this transfer RNA (69 nucleotides) under Gekko hokouensis. Its description in RNAcentral is "tRNA-Ala". The record is from RNAcentral. Lineage: Eukaryota; Metazoa; Chordata; Lepidosauria; Squamata; Gekkonidae.
AAGGCCUGUAAAACAUUACAAUACAUCUCCUGACUGCAAUUCAGGUAUUUUAAUUAAACUAACGCCUCA